CAGGACUGGCUCCCAACAAGAACCCUGGACACAAAGGCUCAGGUGAGCUUCCUAGACACCAAUACUCAGGUGAGCUGUAUGGAAACUAACGCUCAGGUGAGCUUCCUGGACUCCAAGGCCCAGGUGGGCUUUCCUGGACUCCAAGGUGCAGGUGAGCUUCCUGGGCUCCAAGGCCAGGUGAUGUUCCUGGACACUUAGGCUCAGGAAAAGCAGUUGAAAUACCAUUAGUUAACAGAUUGCCCAAUGAAGUCGAUGACAACUGUGAUAACAAGUUACUCACUAUCACAGCGUCUCCAAGAGAUGAACAGUGGAUGAUGCUUCCAAAGCACAGAUGUCCCUCUCCUCCUCAACCUUCUCUCCCCAGAAAGAUGUCAACACUGUGGAGAUUGUGCUAUGAAGAUACCUGGUGUGGCAUUGCAAUAGAUGAAAUAUUAAGGGCAAUUCAACAAUUUUCUGAACAAAUACAUGGAUUUAACUUGAAGUUGAAUUUAAUUUGACUUCAAGAAAAAUUAUAUUUCUGGUCCUCCUAUGAUCAUGCACUAAGAAUUAUUUAACUGCAGAUACAAUUGUUACCUUUAGAGCUAGAAGGCCUCAUUUUAGAAUUAAAAUGAAUGGCAACCCAGACAGAUAAAGUCGAGUCGUGAUCAUCCCACUGCGGAGGCAGAGCCAGUGCUGGCCAUCCCCCGACCACCCCAACACACUCCAGGUCUCACACAUUUAAUCUCUCUCUCUGCCAAGGGAAUUUUUUCUUUCCAUUUAUUCUUAGAAACAACUAAGGGAGUUUUAAGUUAAAUACAUGCUGCCAAAUUGAAUCCAAGGAAACUAAAGUCAAAUAUAUUAGCAAACACUUAAUGUCCUCUCCAUUUUGACAUUUCUCCCUCAAUUCCUAUUUCUGAGUAAAGGCUGUUCAGAUGAAUAAAAACAUAUUUUCAGAAAUCUGAGCUCAUAAGACCUAUAGGUCUGUGAAGUCACAGACCGUGCACUGUCAGCAGUCAGCAAUUCUGCUGGGUUGAAUUGGCAUGUUUCAAACUAUGUAUUUUUGUUAAAAAAAAAAAAAA
Homo sapiens (human) is the source of this 1058-nucleotide long non-coding RNA. Ensembl annotates it as long intergenic non-protein coding RNA 1020. NCBI's taxonomy places the organism in Eukaryota, Metazoa, Chordata, Mammalia, Primates, Hominidae. The record is from Ensembl.